CGCUUUUUGUUUUAAUUUAAAGUUGGUUCUGCUCAAUGAAAUUAUUUAAAUGGCCGCGGUAAACUGACUGUGCAAAGGUAGCAUAAUAAAUAGUUUAUUAAUUGUAAACUUGGAUGAAUGAAUUGACGAGAAAUUUACUGUCUCUAUAUUAAGGUUUUGAAUUUGACUUUUAAGUUAAAAGGCUUAAUUGAAUUUAUGGGACGAGAAGACCCUAUAGAACUUAAUUUAAUUUAAUUUAAGUUUUUUUGAUUUUUAAAAAUUUAUUUAAAAUUAAAUUUAAUUGGGGUGAUUUGAAGAUAAAAAUAACUUUUUAUUUUACAACUUAAAUUAAUGGUUUCUUGAUCUUUAUUAAUGAUUAUAAGAAAAGUUACCUUAGGGAUAACAGCAUAAUUUUUUUGGAGAGUUCUAAUCAAUAAAAAAGUUUGUGACCUCGAUGUUGAAUUAAGAUGAAUAUUAGAUGCAGAAGUUUACAAAAUUAGGUCUGUUCGACCUUUAAAAUCUUACA
RNAcentral lists this ribosomal RNA (505 nucleotides) under Metoligotoma begae. RNAcentral's name for it is "partial 16S ribosomal RNA". It matches the Rfam family "Archaeal large subunit ribosomal RNA", at positions 1952 to 2669 of the family's 2987-position model. The record is from RNAcentral. Lineage: Eukaryota; Metazoa; Arthropoda; Insecta; Embioptera; Australembiidae.